RNAcentral lists this ribosomal RNA (924 nucleotides) under Triticum aestivum (bread wheat). RNAcentral describes it as "partial small subunit ribosomal RNA". Lineage: Eukaryota; Viridiplantae; Streptophyta; Magnoliopsida; Poales; Poaceae. The record is from RNAcentral.
AUGGCGUUGUGGUGUGAGAACAUGGCGUUGCCGCCCCGUGUCCUUGUUGCUCCCCGCCCUUCUGGCGCCAAUGGUCAAGGGAAUAUUCUAUUACUUCGCCAUCCGAAACUAGAAGAAGAAACACAGUAUCUGUUCACUGAUGGCCAACUUCAUGAGUUCAAUUGGUUUAAGGAGCGUUAUGGUUCUUGGUUCUUGGGAGAUUAUGUCUGUGAAGAUGGUAGCGUUUACUAUUGCACACUUGUUGACCCCAUCUUCAUUCUUCUACCACUUCUCGAAGCUGCACGUAUGUCGAACGGUAAGGAUCUAGGAAAAUUCAGACAGCUGGAUGAAAUUUUAUACAUCGAAGGUUAUCCUGGAUAUCAGCACCUCAUGAGUAUAGCAGGAAAGCAUGUGGAACUGGUUUGUGAAGUUAAAGAAGUUGCUAAUAUGAAGUUCUUCAGGCUAGAUGAUUCCAAGGUCUUAACUUGGCUGUGCUGUAAGGUACACAGUAUAAAAGAGGCUAUCUCCAAGUUAGGUAAAAAUUAUGCUGCUCAAGGAGAAAGAGAACUGUUGAAGGAGGCUGUCCAAAUAAUUCGUGAAAACCUGAAGGAUGAACCGUGGCUAAUGGUACUCUGCAAGAAGUUGAAGUUAGACAUCAAUGAGAUAAAUGAUAUGGCCAAAACCAAUGACACGUCAUUUUGUGCUGAUAGUUCUCCAGUACCUGCUCCAGCUCGUCCCUCAGAGGUAAACUCCUCAAGAAUGCUUGAUCUUUUUUCAACGCUCACACCAUGUUCUCUAAGCUUGUCAAAUGCGUCAAUACAGGGUGGUGUAGGAAAUAGCAGUGCCAAGUCAAGCAAAGGGAGGCCUGCGAAGAAACUGAAGCCUGAGGUAGGAUCAAAGAACAUAAAAGACAUGUUCCGAAGGGUGACAAGGAGUGGGACAUAA